RNAcentral lists this transfer RNA (95 nucleotides) under Komagataeibacter oboediens. Its description in RNAcentral is "tRNA-Gly". Lineage: Bacteria; Pseudomonadati; Pseudomonadota; Alphaproteobacteria; Acetobacterales; Acetobacteraceae. The record is from RNAcentral.
GCGCGGGCGGUCAGGGCAGCUUGGUGGUGCGGAUCUUCCAUGGCCGCCGGCGCGCGGCGGUGGAGACGGACGUGCGUUCGGCCAUAUUCAGCGCC